RNAcentral lists this ribosomal RNA (465 nucleotides) under uncultured bacterium. Its description in RNAcentral is "partial 16S ribosomal RNA". It matches the Rfam family "Bacterial small subunit ribosomal RNA", at positions 28 to 507 of the family's 1533-position model. The record is from RNAcentral.
GGCGAACGCUGGCGGCGUGCUUAACACAUGCAAGUCGAACGGAAAGGCCCUGCUUGCAGGGUACUCGAGUGGCGAACGGGUGAGUAACACGUGGGUGAUCUGCCCUGCACUUCGGGAUAAGCCUGGGAAACUGGGUCUAAUACCGGAUAGGAGCCAUUUUUAGUGUGAUGGUUGGAAAGUUUUUUCGGUGUAGGAUGAGCUCGCGGCCUAUCAGCUUGUUGGUGGGGUAAUGGCCUACCAAGGCGGCGACGGGUAGCCGGCCUGAGAGGGUGGACGGCCACAGUGGGACUGAGAUACGGCCCAGACUCCUACGGGAGGCAGCAGUGGGGAAUAUUGCACAAUGGGCGCAAGCCUGAUGCAGCGACGCCGCGUGGGGGAUGACGGCCUUCGGGUUGUAAACUCCUUUCGCUAGGGACGAAGCUUUUUGUGACGGUACCUAGAUAAGAAGCACCGGCUAACUACGUG